GCCGAGGUGGCGGAAUUGGUAGACGCGCGGGACUUAAAAUCCCGUUCACGCAAGUGAGUAUGGGUUCGAUUCCCAUCCUCGGCACCA
RNAcentral lists this transfer RNA (87 nucleotides) under Candidatus Peregrinibacteria bacterium CG_4_10_14_0_2_um_filter_41_8. Its description in RNAcentral is "tRNA-Leu". It matches the Rfam family "tRNA". From Rfam's summary of the family: Transfer RNA (tRNA) molecules are approximately 80 nucleotides in length. RNAcentral also lists the same sequence under 2 other names. The record is from RNAcentral. Lineage: Bacteria; Candidatus Peregrinibacteriota.